GACGAACGCUGGCGGCGUGCCUAAUACAUGCAAGUAGAACGCAGUUGCGAACGGGUGAGUAACGCGUAGGUAACUGCCUCAUAGCGGGGGAUAACUAUUGGAAACGAUAGCUAAUACCGCAUACUGUGAGAUGGACCUGCGUUGGAUUAGCUAGUUGGUGAGGUAAAGGCUCACCAAGGCGACGAUACAUAGCCUACCUGUGAGGGUGGUCGGGCACACUGGGACUGGGGCACGGCCCAGAAUCCUACCGGAGGGAGCAGGAGGGAAUCUUCGGAAAUGGACGGAAGUCAGACCGAAGACCGCCGCGUGAGUGGAGAAGGUUUUCGGAUCGUAAAGCUCUGUUGUGAGGGGAGCGGUAACUAACCAGAAAGGGACGGCUAACUACGUGCCAGCAGCCGCGGUAAUUC
RNAcentral lists this ribosomal RNA (407 nucleotides) under uncultured bacterium. RNAcentral describes it as "partial 16S ribosomal RNA". It matches the Rfam family "Bacterial small subunit ribosomal RNA", at positions 28 to 526 of the family's 1533-position model. The record is from RNAcentral.